CCGCCCGUCGCUCCUACCGAUUGAAUGAUCCGGUGAAGUGUUCGGAUCGCGGCGACGUGGGUGGUUCGCCGUCUGCGACGUCGCGAGAAGUCCACUAAACCUUAUCAUUUAGAGGAAGGAGAAGUCGUAACAAGGUUUCCGUAGGUGAACCUGCGGAAGGAUCAUUGUCGAUACCUGUCCAAAACAGAACAACCCGCGAACGAACGAUCAUCACACUCGGUUGGCCGGUUUCAUUAGUUGAACCCCUGCUUACCGAUUCCGUGGUUUCGCGUAUUGCCUUCAUCAAGAUUAAUCGUCUUGAUCAGGCCAUGCGUGUUCCUUCCGGAUAUCACAAAACCCCGGCACGAAAAGUGUCAAGGAACAUGCAACAAAACAGCUGCCUUCGCCGCCCCGGAAACGGUGUGCGUGCGUAAGUUGCGCUGCAAUAUGAAGUCUAUAACGACUCUCGGCAACGGAUAUCUCGGCUCUCGCAUCGAUGAAGAACGUAGCGAAAUGCGAUACUUGGUGUGAAUUGCAGAAUCCCGUGAACCAUCGAGUCUUUGAACGCAAGUUGCGCCCCAAGCCUUUAGGCCGAGGGCACGUCUGCCUGGGUGUCACAAAUCGUCGUCCCCAUCCUUUACGGAGAAGGGACGGAAGUUGGCCUCCCGUGUGUUACCGCACGCGGUUGACCUAAAUCUGAGCUGAGGACGUCUUGGAGCGUCUCGACAUGCGGUGGUGAAUUAAAGCCUCGUCAUUUCGUCGGUUGCUCCAGUCCGAAUGCUCUCGAUGACCC
Molecule: ribosomal RNA, 772 nt
Filed under: Draba nemorosa
Lineage: Eukaryota; Viridiplantae; Streptophyta; Magnoliopsida; Brassicales; Brassicaceae
Description: eukaryotic LSU rRNA
Rfam family: Eukaryotic small subunit ribosomal RNA (bases 1-167)
Source: RNAcentral